Molecule: ribosomal RNA, 300 nt
Filed under: uncultured Enterococcus sp.
Lineage: Bacteria; Bacillati; Bacillota; Bacilli; Lactobacillales; Enterococcaceae
Description: bacterial SSU rRNA
Rfam family: Bacterial small subunit ribosomal RNA
Source: RNAcentral
GCGAACUUCAGUCGAGGAGCCGAGGUAAGACUGUGGGGUCAAAGGUUGCUCGGGAGCAGUUGGCGUAAAGCGGGUGGAGGUGGCUUUGUAAGUCAGGAGUGAAAGCCCUAGGCUGAACCUAGGAAGUGCUUUUGAUACUGCGAAGCUUGAGGGUGGGAGAGGAUCGUGGAAUUCCAGGUGUAGUGGUGAAAUACGUAGAUAUCUGGAGGAACACCGGUGGCGAAGGCGGCGAUCUGGCCCAACACUGACACUCAGACCCGAAAGCGUGGGGAUCAAACAGGAUUAGAUACCCCAGUAGUC